GCGUAAGAGCUCGUAGGCGGUUUGUCGCGUCUGCUGUGAAAUCCCGAGGCUCAACCUCGGGCUUGCAGUGGGUACGGGCAGACUAGAGUGCGGUAGGGGAGAUUGGAAUUCCUGGUGUAGCGGUGGAAUGCGCAGAUAUCAGGAGGAACACCGAUGGCGAAGGCAGAUCUCUGGGCCGUAACUGACGCUGAGGAGCGAAAGCAUGGGGAGCGAACAGGAUUAGAUACCCUGGUAGUCCAUGCCGUAAACGUUGGGCGCUAGAUGUAGGGACCUUUCCACGGUUUCUGUGUCGUAGCUAACGCAUUAAGCGCCCCGCCUGGGGAGUACGGCCGCAAGGCUAAAACUCAAAGGAAUUGACGGGGGCCCGCACAAGCGGCGGAGCAUGCGGAUUAAUUCGAUGCAACGCGAAGAACCUUACCAAGGCUUGACAUACACCGGAAACGGCCAGAGAUGGUCGCCCCCUUGUGGUCGGUGUACAGGUGGUGCAUGGUUGUCGUCAGCUCGUGUCGUGAGAUGUUGGGUUAAGUCCCGCAACGAGCGCAACCCUCGUUCUAUGUUGCCAGCGGGUUAUGCCGGGGACUCAUAGGAGACUGCCGGGGUCAACUCGGAGGAAGGUGGGGAUGACGUCAAAUCAUCAUGCCCCUUAUGUCUUGAGCUUCACGCAUGCUACAAUGGCCGGUACAAAGGGCUGCGAUACCCGUAGGUGGAGCGAAU
Molecule: ribosomal RNA, 714 nt
Filed under: Curtobacterium herbarum
Lineage: Bacteria; Bacillati; Actinomycetota; Actinomycetes; Micrococcales; Microbacteriaceae
Description: bacterial SSU rRNA
Rfam family: Bacterial small subunit ribosomal RNA
Source: RNAcentral